Non-coding RNA from Potamilus streckersoni, 73 nucleotides. The record is from the annotation of a GenBank genome assembly. Lineage: Eukaryota; Metazoa; Mollusca; Bivalvia; Unionida; Unionidae.
GCUCCGGUUGCUUAGUGGUUAAACCGUUCGCCUCGGAUGCGGGAGGUAGUGGGUUCGAUGCCCGGUUGAGUCA